CCCAAGAGGUGGAGGUUGCAGUGAGGCGAGAUUGCACCACUGCACUCCAGCCUGGGCAACAGAGCGAGACUUGGUCUACACGCUUUGUAAUCUAAAACAUUCUCUACCAAUACCUCAAUCAGUGAAUUCUUGCUUUAUUGAUACAUUCUAGUAUUCAGUUGUGAUUUUAAUAUGCUAUUUUGGUACUUUCUGCUUUCAGUUUUCAUUGCUGUGGCUAUUGCCUUAAACAGAAACAAAAAACUAAAACAAUUUUACAACCAUCCAAAAGAGGCUUGGAAACUUUUUUUUGGCUGGAUAUCCAUAGCACAAUUUAAUUCAGUAAACAUAAACAGUUAAAAUUAUUCCAGUACACAACCAUGUUUUAAAAAAGAGAUUACACCCAAUUUUGGCAACAACACCCAGGAAAUAAGCAUUCUUUUACAUUUGGUUCAAACUUUCUGAAUGGCAGUUGUGCAACACUUGUUGUGAAAAACUUUAGAAUAUUAUAAACAUGUUAAUCCUGUAUUUCCAUUUCUGUGAAUUCAUCCAAAAGAAAUAACCAUGGAUAUGGGUAGAGACAGAGCCAUAUGGAAUGCACACUGCAGUGGUGAACACAUGGCCCAGCUCUGCCAUCAAGGAGAAGGAACAUGAAUGGAGCUGGAGGCCAUCAUCCUUAGUGAACUAACACAGGAGCAGAAAACCAAAUACCACAUGUUCUCAUGUGUAAGUGGGAGCUAAAUGAUGAGAACACAUGGACACAAAGAGGGGAACAACAGACACUGAAGCCUCCUUGAGGGAGGAGGGUAAGAGGAAGGAGAAGAUCAGAAAAGAUAACUACCAGGUACUAUGGUAGCUUAGUACCUGGGUGAUGAAAUAAUCUGUACACCCAACCCUCAUGACAGAAGUUUACCUGUGUAACAAACCUGCACAUGUAUCCCUGAAACUAAAAGUUUUUUAAAAAGUUAUUUAAUAUAUAUAUAUUUUUUUGAGACGGAGUUUUGCUCUUGUUGCCCAGGCUGGAGUGCGGUGGCGCAAUUUCGGCUCACCACAACCUCCGCCUCCCAGGUUCAAGCUAUUCCCCUGCCUCAGCCUCCCUAGUAGCUGGGAUUACAGGCUUGUGCCACCACGCCGGCUAAUUUUGUAUUUUUUGUAGAGACGGGGUUUCUCCAUGUUGGUCAGGCUGGUCUCGAACUCCCGACCUCAGGUGAUCCACCCCCCUCGGCCUCCCAAAGUGCUAGGAUUACAGGCAUGAGCCACUGCGCCCGGCAAAAAGUUAUUUAAUAUUAAUGGGACAAUACUCAUUGCAAGAAUCAGACUUCAAUUGCUAGCAUAAGUAAAUGACAGGCAGGAGAUAUUGAAAAUGCAAUCUUAUAGACAUUCAAGGAGAGGACGCAGGACAUUUCUGUGUCAUAAAUGUACUAUGGAAAAUAAAAAUGAGAAAAAUGGAAAUAAAAUACAAGAAAAGGUUA
Molecule: long non-coding RNA, 1448 nt
Filed under: Homo sapiens (human)
Lineage: Eukaryota; Metazoa; Chordata; Mammalia; Primates; Hominidae
Description: HSALNT0357320
Source: RNAcentral